UACGUAGGUGGCAAGCGUUAUCCGGAAUUAUUGGGCGUAAAGAGCGCGCAGGUGGUUAAUUAAGUCUGAUGUGAAAGCCCACGGCUUAACCGUGGAGGGUCAUUGGAAACUGGUUGACUUGAGUGCAGAAGAGGGAUGUGGAAUUCCAUGUGUAGCGGUGAAAUGCGUAGAGAUAUGGAGGAACACCAGUGGCGAAGGCGGCUUCCUGGUCUGCAACUGACACUGAGGCGCGAAAGCGUGGGGAGCAAACAGG
RNAcentral lists this ribosomal RNA (253 nucleotides) under uncultured bacterium. RNAcentral describes it as "partial 16S ribosomal RNA". It matches the Rfam family "Bacterial small subunit ribosomal RNA", at positions 524 to 776 of the family's 1533-position model. The record is from RNAcentral.